GUUGUUAUUAUUCAGCAUUGUUCUUGCUAAUCUGUUUUUUUUGUUUGUUUUGUUUGUUUGUUUGUUUGUUUGGGGGUUUUCUUUGUAUUUCUAUGUGAGAUUUGAGGGUUUUUUUUCAAUUUUUGUGAUUUAUAUUGGAAGUUUGAUGGGGACUGCAUUGAAUCUAAUGACUGCUUUUUUUUGGAUGCAGGUUUCAUAAUAUUUAUCUUAUAGAAUAUAAGCAUAGGACGUCUUUCUGUCUUUUAGUAUCUUCUUCGAUUUAUUUAUUUUCAGUUUCUUAACAUUUUAUUGUAGAAAUAUUUCACUUGGUUGGAUUUUUUCCAAGAUAUUCACUUCCCCAUUUUUGAAGUUACUGUAAAUGAAAUUUCCCCCCUCAUUUCUUUCCCAUUAUGUUUAUAAUUUGUGUUUAGAAAAGGCUCUGACUUCUGUGUGUGUUGUCACAGUGUUUUAUCACAGCAAUUAAGACAUUAGGACAACUGGUCAUUGUAUACAUUUUCUAUAUGUGACCUUAAAAACUAGUUCUGAAGCUGAAUGUCGUAUUUUAUACAUAAGCAUUUGUUCAGGUCAAGUCUGAAUGCACACACACUGUCAUUCCUCUGACUAUUCUGGUAUACUGAAGAUGAGACAGGACAAGUAUGAACUGUCUCUUGUUUAUCCCCAUCAGUCCUUUCUGGCAACUCUGUAUGAUUCUGUUUGGUAGCCUUUUAAAAUGAGGGAUUGGGCACUUUUUCUGCUGUUCUUCAUCAGCAUAGUUUAUCAGUUCUAGGCUUGAAAUUGUCUUAAGGCUGUAGAUUAAUUGAAUACCAAAUUACUCCUGGUCAUGAACAGAGUCAACACUCUUAUAAAUAACGUCUUGUUGGUUUGUGGAAGUGGAAGUGCGUGUAGGAUGCUCAGUGUUCAUCCUAGUGAGGGUUUCUACUACUGGAAGGGAACACUAUGCCUCAAGUAUGUUAGGGAAGAAAGGGUUAUUAAGGUUAUACUUGUAUAUGUUCAUUGGCAAAGGGGGUCAUGGCAGAAACUCACGUUUAGCAGGAACAGUGAGGCAGGAACUGAUGAUAUAGAGGCAAUGGAGGGGUGUUGCUUAUGGGAUUGCUCCCUAUGGCUUGCUCAGCCUGUUUCUUAUAGAAACCAGGACCACAGCUUAGGGAUGGUAACACCCACAAUGGGCUGGACUCUGCCCUAUUAAUCAAUAAUAAAAAAUGUCCCUUUGACUUGACUCCAAAUGGUUUUAUAGAGACAUUUUCUUAAUUGAGAUUCCCUCCAUUCUACUGAAUUUAGUUUUUUGUCAAGUUGACAUAAAAUGAGCCAAGAAAGCAUUCUUUCAGGAUAUGCUCCUAACUGUCCCUAGUUUUAUUAGAAAAGUAACUACACUUGACUUGUAAUAUUGUCAGAGAUUCAACUAAUCAUAUAUUAACAAUAUAUUAAACUAUAUAUCAAAUAAUGUUUCUGUUCUGAAUAUCGCCACUCCAAGUAUUACACAAUAUAAACUACGUAGCUACAUGAAUUACAUCUAAUAAGGAAUCUGGGAUGAUUAAAAGUAUGUUGCAUGGAGGUAUUUAAAGCGUUAAGGGUGUGUGCGGAUUACAUGCCAUCUUGAAGACAGCAUAAGCAUCUCUAUGGUUUGGAUUCUGCAGAGUGGGGUGACAGGGUCUUCCUUCAAAAACCACAGAGAACCCUGGCUUUGCCAAGAGUGCAGGCUUUGGAUUAGAGUUAACUGAAAGAAUGUUUUUAAAGAUCUGGUCUGAAGGCCAAGAGCAGCGAUGGUCAGAAGGAUGUGGGGGUCUUGAAGAGGAAGUUACUGUCUAGGAUUCUUAGUCACUGGACUGGUUCUGCUCUUUGUAGAUCUUUUCAGGCUUAUCACUAUAUUCCGGAAGCCUCCUGCCUCAGCUCUCAUGGAUUCAGUACUUUAGCAUUCUUCAUUAUGGAUUUAAGGUAAGCUGUCCUCUCUGUCACUCUACUUGGGGUCUCCAAUUAUAGUAACCAAAAUGAGUCCCACCCGGUCCUUCCAUCAGCAAUAAUCUCUAACCAGUUCCUGCCUAGGAAUGUCCUUCCAGGAGCAAAAGAGGAACAAUUUCCUGUUAGUUUAACUUGGCCUCAGGUCAGUAAGUCACCUGUGCCUUUCCCAUGUCACGUGUUAUUUGAGAACUGAAGGGGGAGAGAAAGUUCAGAGCAAAGAGGAAAGAUAGACAAUACAAUUUUUAAAAAGGAACCACAGUAUUUCUGUCCAGUGAAGAAUUGAUGACCGGGUCAGAGAGUACGAUGUAUAGUUCAUAUCAGGAAAUUACCGGAAACAGAAACCAUGUAAUACUCACAGCUAUAUUGGCUCUCACGCUUUCUCUGCAGUGGAGUGCAUCUUAAUGUUCUUUUACUCCCAUAAUUACAGCUGGUUUUGAUGAAAACAAGCAAGAACAUAUUCCUCCUAUAACCCAAUAGUAUUGUUUUAAUCAUAGCUCUUAUGGUUGCAAAAUUAGAGGGCAAAGAAGGAGGAUGCGUGGGGUAAUUUAGUUAGAGAUUUCACAUUUUAGUCAACGGGAAACAUCAUUAUUUCAAUCAUAAGCCUUUGGAUUCUGGAGCAGUCCAGAUGGGGACACUGGUGGACUGAGCGGACUGUGAACGUGGUUGAGGUUUUUGUUUUUUAAUGUUUUACAAAUAGUGGUAAAGAUUGUACUUGAAGAUAUAGCUGUGUUUAUUCUUUGGAAACAUAUGAAAAUGAAAUAUAAGUCUGUUUUCCUUUCCCUGCUCCUGCUUUUGUUACAGGCUUUGCUGCACAAUGAGUUCCUUGGACAAAACUUCUGUCCAGAAGACAGGAUGGAAGAACUCAGUAGAUGCCAUAACUAUGUAAUAUGUGCUGGUGAAGAAUUCUUGACGAUCCAGGGCAUCGAUCUCUCAUCGUGGGGCUUCUGGGAGAAUCACCUGGCUUUAGCUUGUAUAAUGAUUAUCCUCUUAACAAUUACCUAUGUGCAGUUAUUACAGGUUAAGACAUUAGAAGUUCUUAGAUCGCGGGGGAGGAAUUUUCUUCAGUUGUUUAACUAAAUACCAAAGUAUCUUCUGUAUGUCUGUAAUUGUAUUCCUGGACAAAUGCUACAUCCAGCCUGACCCAGAGAGGAUCCCUCUGCUGUGAACACUGAUGAAUGUAGAGACUCAUGGCUGCUCACAGUACAGGGCUAAGGGACACUCCAGUGCUUAUCUCCAACAGGACACCUAUUGCGUGCCGUCUAUAGCUCAGAGCAUUGUAGAGUAGAAAGAGUGCAAGAGCCAGAAUAUGAGAAGGAGUGGAAAUGCAAUAUUGUGGUCCUGCACAGCCAAGGCAACCAUGGUCUGUGUCUCAACUCUACGGCUACCUACAGAAGACUGGAUCCCUCAUCAGCACAGAAGGAGCAGAGGAGAACUCAAUGGGUCCAUCCCCCAUUCUGCUCAACUAUUGGCUACUGGCAGAUCAUGGGGGAGAGGCAGUCAUUGAUUUCACAUGUAUGUUCACAUUUGAGCCUAGAGACUCCAGUGGAAAGUCCGGAACACUCUGAUCCCACACACAGCCCUGUUUAAACUCUGUGGGUCAUAAGACAAAGAUGUGGAUGUGAGAAAGAGACUUGUAAAGAAGAGUAUUUGAAGGGAGUGUAAGGAAAAUGAGAGAGGUGGGACGGAGGGGGAAAUGGCUGAAAUGCAUUAUAUAUGGAAUUGUAUAUUUUUAAAAAUAAAAUUAUAGAAAAGCAA
Molecule: non-coding RNA, 3711 nt
Organism: Rattus norvegicus (Norway rat)
Lineage: Eukaryota; Metazoa; Chordata; Mammalia; Rodentia; Muridae
Source: RefSeq, a predicted model, not a curated record